GAUGAACGCUGGCGGCGUGCUUAACACAUGCAAGUCGAACGAAGCACUUUAUUUGAUUUCCUUCGGGACUGAUUAUUUUGUGACUGAGUGGCGGACGGGUGAGUAACGCGUGGGUAACCUGCCUUGUACAGGGGGAUAACAGUUGGAAACGGCUGCUAAUACCGCAUAAGCGCACAGCAUCGCAUGAUGCAGUGUGAAAAACUCCGGUGGUAUAAGAUGGACCCGCGUUGGAUUAGCUAGUUGGUGAGGUAACGGCCCACCAAGGCGACGAUCCAUAGCCGACCUGAGAGUGUGACCGGCCACAUUGGGACUGAGACACGGCCCAAACUCCUACGGGAGGCAGCAGUGGGGAAUAUUGCACAAUGGGCGAAAGCCUGAUGCAGCGACGCCGCGUGAGCGAAGAAGUAUUUCGGUAUGUAAAGCUCUAUCAGCAGGGAAGAUAAUGACGGUACCUGACGAAGAAGCACCGGCUAAAUUCGUG
Molecule: ribosomal RNA, 481 nt
Filed under: uncultured bacterium
Lineage: Bacteria
Description: partial 16S ribosomal RNA
Rfam family: Bacterial small subunit ribosomal RNA
Source: RNAcentral